Molecule: non-coding RNA, 203 nt
Filed under: Enterococcus aquimarinus
Lineage: Bacteria; Bacillati; Bacillota; Bacilli; Lactobacillales; Enterococcaceae
Description: T-box sequence
Rfam family: T-box leader
About the family: Uncharged tRNA acts as the effector for transcription antitermination of genes in the T-box leader family. T-boxes are found upstream of many aminoacyl-tRNA synthetase genes and some amino acid biosynthetic genes usually in Gram-positive bacteria.
Source: RNAcentral
AAAAACACAACGAACAGACGAAGUACUCUUAUCUUUUUUUCAGAAAGAUUGCGGUUGAUGGAAGCAAUUAAAAAGACGGAGGAAAUGCACCUGGGAGUGGCUUUGAUGAAAAUCAAAGACGAGAAAGUGCACGUUACGCAUUUGGAAGGCAGAAAAACAUUCUGUGAACAAAAGUGGAACCACGCAACGAUUGCGUCUUUUAA